AAAAAAUUGUAAAACCAUUCAGUUGAACAGAUGUGCUUUAGUACUGAUGAUGUAGAGAUGCAAAGGUGAGAGCAACAUCAUCUUUGCCAUCGGGAAGCAUCCACUCUAAAUGUUUUAGUCACAGGGCUGUGUGUUCACACCAUGAAUUGUGAGAUCCCCAUGUUUACAAAGGAAAAUUCUUCCUAUGAGUCUCCCUGUUGCUAGGUAUCUUACUUUCUUGUCUCUGGGACAAUAUACCUGACAUCCACAACUUAAAAGAGGAAAGGCUUGUUUUGGCUCACAGUUCUUUCAUAGAGGUUUCAGUCCAUGGUUGGCUGCCUCCGAGGCAGAAGAGCAUGGCAGAGGAGAACAGCACAUGACAUGGAAGAAGGAAGCAAAGCGAUCAGGGGAGGAGGGAGGGAGACAGACUUGCCAGGCAGUGCCUCCAGUGACCCACCUCUUCCAACCAGGCUUCACAUCCCAAGUCAUCAGAGGAGCAACCCACCAAUAAGUAUCAUGCCCCUAGGGUCCAUUCACAUCCCCAAAGCCCCACAUAUGAGCACAUGAGGCUUUGAGAGUAUAAACCAUAGCACUAGGUUUUUUUUUUUUUUUUUAAAUAAAUCCUCCCAUUAUCAUGACUUCAUUUGGUUUAUUGUGGUGUUUUAUCUUUUUUCUUUUCCUUCUUCCCAGUGUUGAAAAAGAAGAGUUCUAUUAAUGCCCAGCAUUUAUCCAGUGGCAGUGUAUGUACAAUACCCUAAUCAGGAACCCAGAGCCUUAAGAAAAUUUCAUUUCUAGAGCAACAAGAUUGGAGUUCAUUACGUCCAGACUUGAUCUCUGUCCCUUUUAUGGACCCAAAACCGAUGAAGCUGAAACAUCCCAGGACACCACAGCAAUCACACGGGAUGGCCAGGAUGUCUUCAGUUACCCAGAGAAACAUCUGUCAGACACCGCGUGACCUUCUAGCUGGAGAAACUGUAAAGUUUUAACAUGAGAAUGGUAUCUCCCUUCUAAUGAUAGCAUAGGUUUCCUAAUUGGGUUGUACCCAAAAGUAGGGCCUCAACCUGAUUUAGUGAGGUGAGCUAGUUAACAUUCUAAGUUAACGGGAAGCCUCAUAACUUCUUAAACAAUAAAGUCACCCUGGAAUGAUAUUUUAGACAUCAUCAUCUUAAGGGAAUUUCUCCAAAAAUAUGAAUUCUUGUGUGUUUAAAAAGAAAUAUAUAAAAGAUUCCAUCUCUUGAUUUUCAGAUAACACUACUACAAUCAAUCCUUAAAUUGUCCGCACUGCAUUUAGAAGUUCUGGAAAAUACUAGAUUUUAAACUUGUGAACUAAGAUCAUUCAAUGUAAGGUUUGAUUUAAAUGUGAUAUAAACUAUAAUUAUUUGGAUUAUGUGUACGUCAUUUAUGACUAAUUUUAAUAUAGCACAAUCUAUUUUAUAUAUGUCAUCUAAAAUCUAUGAUCAACUUUUCACAUAUUUCAAAAUGCAUAGCAAAAUGAUUAAAAGCAAAUUCACUAGUAAUACCUUUAUAUGUUAGAAUACUGAAAAACUUUAAUUGUACGUUUG
Molecule: long non-coding RNA, 1541 nt
Filed under: Heterocephalus glaber (naked mole-rat)
Lineage: Eukaryota; Metazoa; Chordata; Mammalia; Rodentia; Bathyergidae
Description: lncRNA (ENSHGLG00000040582.1)
Source: RNAcentral